UACGUAGGGGGCAAGCGUUGUCCGGAUUUAUUGGGCGUAAAGAGCGUGUAGGCGGCCUAGUAGGUCAGCUGUGAAAACUCGAGGCUCAACCUCGAGCUGUCGGUUGAAACCACUAGGCUAGAGUCCGGAAGAGGAGAAUGGAAUUCCCGGUGUAGCGGUGAAAUGCGCAGAUAUCGGGAUGAACACCCGUGGCGAAGGCGGUUCUCUGGGACGGUACUGACGCUGAGACGCGAAAGCGUGGGGAGCGAACAGG
Molecule: ribosomal RNA, 253 nt
Filed under: uncultured bacterium
Lineage: Bacteria
Description: partial 16S ribosomal RNA
Rfam family: Bacterial small subunit ribosomal RNA
Source: RNAcentral